GCGCACCAGGCGAGAAACCUCCGCAAUGCGGGAAACCGCGACGGGGUCAGCCGGAGUGCUCGCGCAUCGCGCGGGCUGUCGGGGUGCCUAAAAAGCACCCCAUAGCAAGGGCCGGGCAAGGCCGGUGGCAGCCGCCGCGGUAAUACCGGCGGCCCGAGUGGCGGCCACUUUUAUUGGGCCUAAAGCGUCCGUAGCCGGGCUGGUAAGUCCUCCGGGAAAUCUGGUCGCUUAACGAUCAGACUUCCGGAGGAUACUGCCAGCCUAGGGACCGGGAGAGGCCGGGGGUAGUUCCCGGGGUAGGGGUGAAAGUCCUGUAAUCCCGGGAGGACCACCUGUGGCGAAGGCGCCCGGCUGGAACGGGUCCGACGGUGAGGGACGAAGGCCAGGGGAGCGAACCGGAUUAGAUACCCGCGUAGU
RNAcentral lists this ribosomal RNA (417 nucleotides) under uncultured microorganism. Its description in RNAcentral is "bacterial SSU rRNA". It matches the Rfam family "Archaeal small subunit ribosomal RNA", at positions 330 to 745 of the family's 1478-position model. The record is from RNAcentral.